RNAcentral lists this ribosomal RNA (549 nucleotides) under uncultured Nocardiopsis sp. RNAcentral describes it as "bacterial SSU rRNA". It matches the Rfam family "Bacterial small subunit ribosomal RNA", at positions 373 to 919 of the family's 1533-position model. The record is from RNAcentral. Lineage: Bacteria; Bacillati; Actinomycetota; Actinomycetes; Streptosporangiales; Nocardiopsidaceae.
GGGCGUCAGGCUGAUGCAGCGACGCCGCGUGGGGGAUGACGGCCUUCGGGUUGUAAACCUCUUUUACCACCAACGCUGGUUCCACGUUUUCGUGGGGUUGACGGUGGGUGGGGAAUAAGGACCGGCUAACUACGUGCCAGGGGGCGCGGUAAUACCUAAGGUACGAGCGUUGUCCGGAAUUAUUGGGCGUAAACAGCUCGUAGGCGAAAUGUCGCGUCUGCUGUGAAAGACCGGGGCUUAACUCCGGUUCUGCAAUGGAUACAGACAUGCUAGAGGUAGGUAGGGGAAACUGGAAUUCCUGGUGUAGCGGUGAAAUGCCCAUAUAUCAGGAGGAACACCGGUGGCGAACGCGGGUUUCUGGGCCUUACCUGACGCUGAGGAGCGAAAGCAUGGCGAGCGAACAGGAUUACAUACCCUGGUAGUCCAUGCCGUAAACGUUGGGCGCUAGGUGUGGGGACUUUCCACGGUUUCCGCGCCCUACCUAACGCAUUAAGCGCCCCGCCUGGAGAGUACGGCGUUAAGGGGAAAACUCAAAGAUUUUGUCGGGGG